UCUGCCGCGCCUCUCGCGAGAGUAAUCACUAAUAAGCGUGCGAGCGCCGCUGUUUAAACUUCAACGGUUACGGUGCGCUCGGGACAACGACGAUUACAUUGGUAAGUGAGAAAAUUAAUUAAUUGCAGCUUAUUUCAAUUACUUUUACCUAAACCCUUGUCAUUUUUAGUUAGCCUAACGUUACACGUUUAUUUCAAGAAGCUAAAAAGAAAAGAAAAGUGGUUUAUCGCGUUGUCCAGGCCUGCGCAAUUCUUCGCCGGGAGAUUGUAUUGGACCUAUAUGUAUAGGAAAAGAUGAAACAAAGUUUCGGUCAAAUCACCGUCUGCCAGCCGGUAUAAACAUGAAUUCAAACUAAGAAGGACAAAGAGAGAAGCUGAUGGAGAUGUUAAAAUUUUUUCUGUGAAGAACUAUGUUCAUCUAUCUCAGAGAGCACUUUUAAAGUUUUACCACCACCUUAUCAGAGUGCUGAAAAGUGGAAGUCAGAGGAAACAUGACCAACUUGCUGCAAAACAAUAACACAAAAGGUCUGGACUAUGGAGUGCAUGCAGCCUUACUUGUUUGGUCAUCUACAUUCAGAUGAAAACACCACACUCCUCUCUAAUUCAAGAUGUCAAGCCUACUCAUCGCAAGGAGAGUUAGCAUCAAAAUGGAUGUGUCACUGACCAAUAACACAGAGAUGCCAGAAGUAUCUGUUUGCUGUCUACUUUUUGUUAAGUACUAUGGAGCAUCCAAAAGCCAUCACUCAGUUAAAUUCAA
This is a long non-coding RNA of Sinocyclocheilus grahami, 756 nucleotides long. RefSeq lists it as uncharacterized. The record is from RefSeq and is a predicted model, not a curated record. NCBI's taxonomy places the organism in Eukaryota, Metazoa, Chordata, Actinopteri, Cypriniformes, Cyprinidae. The transcript has 5 exons.